AGAAGCUUGCUUCUCUGAUGUUAGCGGCGGACGGGUGAGUAACACGUGGGUAACCUACCUAUAAGACUGGGAUAACUCCGGGAAACCGGGGCUAAUACCGGAUAAUAUUUUGAACCGCAUGGUUCAAUAGUGAAAGACGGUUUCGGCUGUCACUUAUAGAUGGACCCGCGCCGUAUUAGCUAGUUGGUAAGGUAACGGCUUACCAAGGCGACGAUACGUAGCCGACCUGAGAGGGUGAUCGGCCACACUGGAACUGAGACACGGUCCAGACUCCUACGGGAGGCAGCAGUAGGGAAUCUUCCGCAAUGGGCGAAAGCCUGACGGAGCAACGCCGCGUGAGUGAUGAAGGUCUUCGGAUCGUAAAACUCUGUUGUUAGGGAAGAACAAAUUUGUUAGUAACUGAACAAGUCUUGACGGUACCUAACCAGAAAGCCACGGCUAACUACGUGCCAGCAGCCGCGGUAAUACGUAGGUGGCAAGCGUUAUCCGGAAUUAUUGGGCGUAAAGCGCGCGUAGGCGGUUUCUUAAGUCUGAUGUGAAAGCCCACGGCUCAACCGUGGAGGGUCAUUGGAAACUGGGAAACUUGAGUGCAGAAGAGGAGAGUGGAAUUCCAUGUGUAGCGGUGAAAUGCGCAGAGAUAUGGAGGAACACCAGUGGCGAAGGCGGCUCUCUGGUCUGUAACUGACGCUGAUGUGCGAAAGCGUGGGGAUCAAACAGGAUUAGAUACCCUGGUAGUCCACGCCGUAAACGAUGAGUGCUAAGUGUUAGGGGGUUUCCGCCCCUUAGUGCUGCAGCUAACGCAUUAAGCACUCCGCCUGGGGAGUACGACCGCAAGGUUGAAACUCAAAGGAAUUGACGGGGACCCGCACAAGCGGUGGAGCAUGUGGUUUAAUUCGAAGCAACGCGAAGAACCUUACCAAAUCUUGACAUCCUUUGACCGCUCUAGAGAUAGAGUCUUCCCCUUCGGGGGACAAAGUGACAGGUGGUGCAUGGUUGUCGUCAGCUCGUGUCGUGAGAUGUUGGGUUAAGUCCCGCAACGAGCGCAACCCUUAAGCUUAGUUGCCAUCAUUAAGUUGGGCACUCUAGGUUGACUGCCGGUGACAAACCGGAGGAAGGUGGGGAUGACGUCAAAUCAUCAUGCCCCUUAUGAUUUGGGCUACACACGUGCUACAAUGGAUAAUACAAAGGGCAGCGAAUCCGCGAGGCCAAGCAAAUCCCAUAAAAUUAUUCUCAGUUCGGAUUGUAGUCUGCAACUCGACUACAUGAAGCUGGAAUCGCUAGUAAUCGUAGAUCAGCAUGCUACGGUGAAUACGUUCCCGGGUCUUGUACACACCGCCCGUCACACCACGAGAGUUUGUAACACCCGAAGCCGGUGGAGUAACCU
Molecule: ribosomal RNA, 1384 nt
Filed under: Mammaliicoccus sciuri
Lineage: Bacteria; Bacillati; Bacillota; Bacilli; Caryophanales; Staphylococcaceae
Also listed under: 1 other name
Description: bacterial SSU rRNA
Rfam family: Bacterial small subunit ribosomal RNA
Source: RNAcentral